Molecule: unclassified non-coding RNA, 233 nt
Filed under: soil metagenome
Description: partial contains small subunit ribosomal RNA, internal transcribed spacer 1, and 5.8S ribosomal RNA
Source: RNAcentral
UCUCCGUUGGUGAACCAGCGGAGGGAUCAUUACCGAGUUGCAAAACUCCCAAACCCCCCCGUCUAUCUAUCUCGCAAGAGCCCUGCCUCGGCGGGCGGCCCCGGGGAGGGGCCGCGGCCGGCGUCUCGCGGCGCCGGCGCCCGCCGGAGGUGGGCCCCCAUUCGUAUCGUUAGUGUCUCUCUGAGCCUAAAGACAAAUAGUCAAAACUUUCAACAACGGAUCUCUUGGUUCUG